RNAcentral lists this ribosomal RNA (476 nucleotides) under Shigella sonnei. Its description in RNAcentral is "partial 23S ribosomal RNA". It matches the Rfam family "Bacterial large subunit ribosomal RNA", at positions 442 to 920 of the family's 2925-position model. The record is from RNAcentral. Lineage: Bacteria; Pseudomonadati; Pseudomonadota; Gammaproteobacteria; Enterobacterales; Enterobacteriaceae.
AUAUGGGGGGCCCAUCCUCCAAGGCUAAAUACUCCUGACUGACCGAUAGUGAACCAGUACCGUGAGGGAAAGGCGAAAAGAACCCCGGCGAGGGGAGUGAAAAAGAACCUGAAACCGUGUACGUACAAGCAGUGGGAGCACGCUUAGGCGUGUGACUGCGUACCUUUUGUAUAAUGGGUCAGCGACUUAUAUUCUGUAGCAAGGUUAACCGAAUAGGGGAGCCGAAGGGAAACCGAGUCUUAACUGGGCGUUAAGUUGCAGGGUAUAGACCCGAAACCCGGUGAUCUAGCCAUGGGCAGGUUGAAGGUUGGGUAACACUAACUGGAGGACCGAACCGACUAAUGUUGAAAAAUUAGCGGAUGACUUGUGGCUGGGGGUGAAAGGCCAAUCAAACCGGGAGAUAGCUGGUUCUCCCCGAAAGCUAUUUAGGUAGCGCCUCGUGAAUUCAUCUCCGGGGGUAGAGCACUGUUUCGGCA